UACUUGGUUGAGGAAUUACUUCAUUAUU
This 28-nucleotide small RNA is filed under the name Bombyx mori (domestic silkworm). Its description in RNAcentral is "ovarian small RNA-21673". The record is from RNAcentral. Lineage: Eukaryota; Metazoa; Arthropoda; Insecta; Lepidoptera; Bombycidae.